RNAcentral lists this unclassified non-coding RNA (332 nucleotides) under soil metagenome. Its description in RNAcentral is "partial contains 5.8S ribosomal RNA, internal transcribed spacer 2, and large subunit ribosomal RNA". The stretch from base 1 to 121 matches the Rfam family "5.8S ribosomal RNA", at positions 35 to 154 of the family's 154-position model. The record is from RNAcentral.
GAUGAAGAACGCAGCGAAAUGCGAUAAGUAAUGCGAAUUGCAGAAUUUCCGUGAGUCAUCGAAUCUUUGAACGCACAUUGCGCCCCCUGGUAUUCCGGGGGGCAUGCCUGUUCGAGCGUCAUUUCACCACUCAAGCCUCGCUUGGUAUUGGGCAACGCGGUCCGCCGCGUGCCUCAAAUCGACCGGCUGGGUCUUCUGUCCCCUAAGCGUUGUGGAAACUAUUCGCUAAAGGGUGUUCGGGAGGCUACGCCGUAAAACAACCCCAUUUCUAAGGUUGACCUCGGAUCAGGUAGGGAUACCCGCUGAACUUAAGCAUAUCAAUAAGCGGAGGA